GACGAACGCUGGCGGCGUGCUUAACACAUGCAAGUCGAACGGAAAGGCCCUGCUUUUGUGGGGUGCUCGAGUGGCGAACGGGUGAGUAACACGUGAGUAACCUGCCCUGGACUUUGGGAUAACUUCAGGAAACUGGGGCUAAUACCGGAUAGGAGCUCCGGCUGCAUGGUGGGGGUUGGAAAGUUUCGGCGGUUGGGGAUGGACUCGCGGCUUAUCAGCUUGUUGGUGGGGUAGUGGCUUACCAAGGCUUUGACGGGUAGCCGGCCUGAGAGGGUGACCGGCCACAUUGGGACUGAGAUACGGCCCAGACUCCUACGGGAGGCAGCAGUGGGGAAUAUUGCACAAUGGGCGGAAGCCUGAUGCAGCAACGCCGCGUGCGGGAUGACGGCCUUCGGGUUGUAAACCGCUUUCGCCUGUGACGAAGCGUGAGUGACGGUAAUGGGUAAAGAAGCACCGGCUAACUACGUG
Molecule: ribosomal RNA, 468 nt
Filed under: uncultured bacterium
Lineage: Bacteria
Description: partial 16S ribosomal RNA
Rfam family: Bacterial small subunit ribosomal RNA
Source: RNAcentral